UCAUGCAUAGACAGCCAUACACACACACACACACACGCUGAAAACGGAACUUACGGCGCUGCUCUCUGCUCCCUCAUCCGGCUCUCGCCCACGCCGUGCCAUCACAGCCUCCACCUCACUCCCUGUGUGAGCGUAAACGAUGGACCAACUGGCCGUCGACCUGAGCGCCUUGAGGGAGCUUGUGCUUCAGCACCAGCAUCAGCAACGUCUGGCGAACGACACCCAUGUGGGGGUGGACGCCGUGGCAGUGCCGUCCGCGCUGAGCGCGAGCACCAGCGCUGCCACGGUGACGACGACAGCUGACAAGCUGCGACAGUUGCAGCGGGAGCUCGGUGCGCUGACGGAGCAGCUGCAUGCAGAGAAGGCUGCGUCGGCUCAGCGGCUCUUGCAGCAGCGCUGCGACGCGGCCUCGCUGCAAGAACUGCUUGAUCAGGCAGCACGUGCGGAUGAGAAAGUCGCCGACUUGACGUCGCAGCUGACGGAGUGGAAGCGACGGUGUCAGGCAGUCGAAGAGGCCCACGCGGGGUGCACCGGUCAGUACGAGAGUGUGCGGGAGCAGGUGGAGUGCGUGCAACGGCACGCGGCGGAGACGCAGGCGCAGCAUGCGGUUCUCACCGCAAGAGCCACAGAAGCCCAGCGACUCGUGUCGAAGCUGGCAGACGAGAAGGCUCAGCUGCAGGGCACAUUGCGCUCCCGCGACGCCGCCCUGCUGCGGCUCUCUGGGGUCGAACUGGACCGAGAUGAGGCCCGCGCACGUGUGCAGGCCUUCGAGGCGCAGCACGCAGAGUGGGUGGCUGAGGUGUGCGCGUAUCAGCGCUACUUCGACUCCGCGCGUGAAGAGUACGUACGCGGCCUGCGCCACGUUGCCUCAGUGCGUCAGGAGCACGAGGCGCUGAGGGAGGCACUGACACAGAGCGAGGCGCGAUGUGUGCACUGGGAGAAGCUGUUUACGGACCUCAGCGCUGGUGCCUGCGCCGGGUUCGCGGCCACGCCAGCGGACGCAUCGACGGAGGAGGCAGCGGCAGACAUCUCCGGCGCGAGCAGCGCUGUCAUCGCCGUUGGUGUCGCAGAGGAUGGCAGCCCCUCCAGCGGCGGCGGCUGCGACGCGAGUGACUGUUUUGACCAUCCCACCUCCCCAUUUGACGCUGCCUUCGUGCCGCUUCUCGAGACGAAGGUGGCGGAUCUUGCGCUGCGUCUCUGCGACGCCCAGGCCCGCGCCGACGCCGCGGAGCGCACCGCGGAGGACUUAUCUCGCUUGUCCCUGGCAGACUCUACGCUGCUGAUACACCUCAAGUCCCUAGUUUGUGCUCUCCGUCCACAGGUCGAUGGCGUGGCGGAUCACAACGCACAGCUUCAGGCACGUCUGCUGGCCGCUGAGUCCUUCACCGACGCAUUGAUGCAGCACGUGGUGCGGCUCGGUGAGGCGUUUGCCGACGAAGCGAGUCAGCGAUGUUGGCUGACGGCAGCGUCAUCCGCCAGCGCUAUCGGAGGGGGCGGAGGUGUGGACGUGCUAAGCGGUGGCAGCGGUGGUCGUGGCAGCGAGACUACUCUUCCACCAGCGACGCCUCCCUCUGCCCUGACACAAAGUCGACGGCACCGCCUGCGCACAAGAGUUCUGGGCGGGCGGUGAUCGCGAGCAUGGCGCACACGGCCAGGAAAGACGCAUACAGAGAGAUGUCGGUUUGUAAGGUGUGGUGUGUGUGUGUGUGUGUGUGUGUGUGUGUGUGGUGUAUGGUGUGUGUUCGUCGUGUGCACAUGGGUUGUGGUCGCUGCUUCCCUUCUGCUGGUGUUGCUGCUAUGAUGUUUUGUUUGCCGCUCUGUCUAUUCCUCAUGCACAAGACCGACGCGCAUGCGUCCACUCAUCGCAUGGACGAAGAUAGCGAGUGCGAGGUACCGAUGCGGACAUGCUCUCGUAGAGCGUACAGUCUGGACACGGUUGCAUCACGUGCGGUGGGGUCGAACAGGAGAUGAACCGCAGCACGAGCGGGUGCGUGAGAGAAGCAACACGGACGAGGCGGAGGAGAGUAGCAGCGGGAAGGGGAGAAGCGCCUCCUCCUCUCGCCCCGCACCCGACCACCGUGCUGGUGGGUUCGUGUUGCUCUCUGUGCAGCCUGCCCGAUUCUCUCUUCUCUGCUUGAGCCCUCUCAUCUCGUUGGGCUCCGCCGUAACCACGCCGUCCAUCCUUCAUCGCGUCACCACGUUGAUUGGUGGCUUUACGUAAGAACGGUCAUCACCACCACCGCACGCGCGCGCACUCUGUGGUACGGCGUUGCCGCCGCUGCACGAGGAGGAAGCAC
This 2297-nucleotide unclassified non-coding RNA is filed under the name Leishmania donovani. RNAcentral's name for it is "gene:LdHU3.21.0580(CDS-product:hypothetical_prote in_conserved)". The record is from RNAcentral. Lineage: Eukaryota; Euglenozoa; Kinetoplastea; Trypanosomatida; Trypanosomatidae.